Long non-coding RNA from Mesocricetus auratus (golden hamster), 650 nucleotides. RefSeq lists it as uncharacterized. The transcript has 3 exons. The record is from RefSeq and is a predicted model, not a curated record. Lineage: Eukaryota; Metazoa; Chordata; Mammalia; Rodentia; Cricetidae.
GUCUGCAGAUGUCACCUGGAACAGUCCCCAGCCAGUACAGAGGAUAAGAGAAUCACUGUAUGUCGGGAGAGGCGGCAGGGCAGACAAACAGCUUGCCUAGGUGGGAUUCACUGAGGAAGCAGAUGGCAUCUGGGGCCGAGUGUGAUGGUGAUUACGCUGCGGAAGGGUGAUAAUUUAUUCCGCUCAGCUGGCUGAGAGUUGGAAGGAGGUGAGAUUGCACCUGUCCCUUUGUGCAAGACGGACAAAAGACACCGAGGCCACCUGAUGAAGUGGUCAAGAAGACAUCGAGUGGGGUGUAAGCCUUGUAUGCACUUAAAUUUGAGCCCCCGUGCUUCCUUUAGCGGGCUGUGUAGCUCUCAGGAGGUCGUGUGCACUCUGAGGUGCAGUUCCCCCUGUGUUUAGCUUGGAUCUCCUUCUGAAGGUGAAGCCAGAGCCCACAUAGGUCAACUGUCAGAAGAGCCCCAGGGCUCAAGGUUGCCCCAUAUAGCUUAUUGUUGGAAGAUGAAACUUCCAGGCCAGAUGCCCCCUGCUGUGGUCUUGGGAAAGAGGAAGGAAAAAUGCAUUAGGACAUGAAAUUUUGGACAGGAGUGCCUGGUGUUCUGAGGCGGUGCUCAGCUCUUCAGGACUCAGGGGGGUUGCUGACAGACUGG